RNAcentral lists this long non-coding RNA (698 nucleotides) under Meleagris gallopavo (turkey). Its description in RNAcentral is "lncRNA (ENSMGAG00000019619.1)". Lineage: Eukaryota; Metazoa; Chordata; Aves; Galliformes; Phasianidae. The record is from RNAcentral.
UUUCCCUGUACUAUUUUGCCAGUUUUGGAAAAGGGAAAACAGACUACGGUAUUGUUCAAGUUUUUGGCAAUGCACAUUCUUACAUAAGAAAAGCUUUUCCAGCAUCAUCAACGUAUAGUGGAAUUCUAAUCAACAGAGAUUGCAGAGAUUGUAACUACAGGACUAUUCUACAUUUGGGAUACAGAGCUUUUGGGAAGAAGAAUGCACCACAUCUGCUUCUGUGGCAUAUGGUAUCUGACAAGAGGAUCUGGGACUAUUUUCUGGACAGGACAAACGUGGUAGGGAAAGAAAAAAAUUCUUAAUUUUUUGAAAAAGCUUUCCACAGGGACCUGUCAAUGGGCAGUUUAAAGCUUUCUGCUACAGGAUUUGUCUUCCUAUAUGUUUCUGUACCAGCAACCCUUGAGAGUUAUCCUUAAUAAUAACUAAUAGUAGCAUAGAAUGUAGGGUGGCUAAUUUUCCACCUGGAAAAUAGUAUUCACUGAUAUCGUCUACUCUUUCCUAUAUUAGUGGGCAUAAUAUUUCAAAGGAAUUCAUUGCUAAAGUUCCUAUCAAACUCAGUGGAGUUGAAUUCAGUCCUGAAGCUUAAGAUCAUUUGAUAAUUUUCAGUCCUAUCUUUAUCAGCAAAUAUUUCAUGUUCAAAGACUGGCAGUGGUAGUGAGUGAAGUCUGCUGUUUAAAGAGACUUCUCUGCACUUCCAC